CGUGUGCUCUCCCGAUCUCUCGGGCUGCUUGCAGGUGGCAUUCACAGGCGUCGUUUCGGUUCGCCUGAAUUAAACUUUUU
This is a long non-coding RNA of Sinocyclocheilus anshuiensis, 80 nucleotides long. RefSeq lists it as uncharacterized. The transcript has 3 exons. The record is from RefSeq and is a predicted model, not a curated record. Lineage: Eukaryota; Metazoa; Chordata; Actinopteri; Cypriniformes; Cyprinidae.